Molecule: ribosomal RNA, 468 nt
Filed under: uncultured bacterium
Lineage: Bacteria
Description: partial 16S ribosomal RNA
Rfam family: Bacterial small subunit ribosomal RNA
Source: RNAcentral
GACGAACGCUGGCGGCGUGCUUAACACAUGCAAGUCGAACGGAAAGGCCCUGCUUUUGUGGGGUGCUCGAGUGGCGAACGGGUGAGUAACACGUGAGUAACCUGCCCUUGACUUUGGGAUAACUUCAGGAAACUGGGGCUAAUACCGGAUAGGAGCUCCUGCUGCCUGGUGGGGGUUGGAAAGUUUCGGCGGGUGGGGAUGGACUCGCGGCUUAUCAGCUUGUUGGUGGGGUAGUGGCUUACCAAGGCUUUGACGGGUAGCCGGCCUGGGAGGGUGAACGGACACAUUGGGACUGAGAUACGGCCCAGACUCCUACGGGAGGCAGCAGUGGGGAAUAUUGCACAAUGGGCGGAAGCCUGAUGCAGCAACGCCGCGUGCGGGAUGACGGCCUUCGGUUUGUAAACCGCUUUCGCCUGUGACGAAGCGUGAGUGACGGUAAUAGGUAAAGAAGCACCGGCUAACUACGUG